AUGGCCCCUGUCUCCGCCGUUGGCAUCAAGCGCUCUGCACCAAGCGACCACGAUGAGCAGCGUGGCAUCUGGUGCAAGGGGGCUUCAUCGCACCAGGCACACCAGAGUACUUUCAAGGGCAAGCAAGUUGCUGACCCUGAAGACCACGGUGGCGACAAAGCUAAUUACCGGAAGCGGCGCCGAUGUCUUGCCAUCAACAUCAAUGAGGUACCCCACAACGAAGACGAUGACCUCGACAACCCUCUUCAUGUCGGGGCCCCCGCUGCAGGUGGUAGGUGCUCCCAGCCGCCACACUGGCUGCUCUCACUCGUGAACAAGAAGCAAGCGCAGGAGAAUGAGAUAAUAGAGCUUGCAGAGCAGCGCUUGCGCUGGGCCACAGAGGACCUGAUGGAGGAAAUGGAGCUGAAGAAGAUGCGGUUGGAGAAUGAGAAGAUGCGUCUUGAGAACUACCGACUCCUGGUGCAGGUCAAGCACAAGGAGUUGGAGCUCAACCUUGCCAGGUCGAAAAGGAUCUAG
Molecule: ribosomal RNA, 516 nt
Filed under: Triticum aestivum (bread wheat)
Lineage: Eukaryota; Viridiplantae; Streptophyta; Magnoliopsida; Poales; Poaceae
Description: partial small subunit ribosomal RNA
Source: RNAcentral